RNAcentral lists this transfer-messenger RNA (410 nucleotides) under Sphingomonas sp. It matches the Rfam family "Alphaproteobacteria transfer-messenger RNA". From Rfam's summary of the family: Bacterial tmRNA, also known as 10Sa RNA or SsrA, is named for its dual tRNA and mRNA-like properties. Its role is to liberate the mRNA from a stalled ribosome. The record is from RNAcentral. RNAcentral also lists the same sequence under 2 other names. Lineage: Bacteria; Pseudomonadati; Pseudomonadota; Alphaproteobacteria; Sphingomonadales; Sphingomonadaceae.
CUUCUUUUCAAAGCCGGGACAAGCGCCUAUAUCCCCUCUCGCCGGCUUCCAGCCGGCUAUGACGAUAAAUGGCGGCGUGCAAUAGACGCAGCGGACCCGGGGGCAGUACCCGGCGGCUCCACCACCUGCGCCGGAUGGUCGACACGCGUGAAGCGUGCCGACCCAGCGGCUCAGCUGAUGGGGCCGAACCAGGAUCGACGUGUGUUGAAAAGCGCUGUUUUCGUUCGGAAUGGGACCACCGCAACGGCCCAUACACACAAGUGCCAACGAUAACGAAGCACUCGCGAUUGCGGCGUAACUAAGGGCCUCACGGCCUGAAGUUACUCCAAAAUAGCGCGGUUGGACCGAACCGGGCAACAGAAUCGGAUUCCAGCGGUACGGGGAGCACCGGGCAACAGAAGCUCCCCACU